Carcharodon carcharias (great white shark) is the source of this 975-nucleotide long non-coding RNA. RefSeq lists it as uncharacterized. Lineage: Eukaryota; Metazoa; Chordata; Chondrichthyes; Lamniformes; Lamnidae. The record is from RefSeq and is a predicted model, not a curated record. The transcript has 5 exons.
AGGGAGCAGCACAGGAAGAGGUCAUUCAGCCCAAGCAGAGCGUGUGGGCAGUUCCUCCCCAGGCGAGCAGUCGGACAGGUCCUGGAGUUUGAGAGUCAGAAGCUAAUGAAAUAUCUGGGAGUGGACAAUGAUCGGGAAAUCUUACGUCCUCCUGUCACUUCUCCAAGAUUUCACAGAUAAACCCACGAUAUUCCCUGCUGAAAUUAUUGCAGGAAAGCGUGUGGAUGUAAGCUGCACCUUCAACACAACGUGCAAUGGAACAGCAGCCCCUGUCUUAACCUGGGACCCUCCCACUGAUGUACCUGGAUCAGUCUCAAACACUGUAACUCAGCAUGGUAUCACUCUGACCUAUACUUCUGUUCUGACCCUAAUCCCAUUACUCAAACACCACGGACACACUCUCAGCUGCAGAGUGAGAUAUCCAUCUGUUUCAUCGGAGCGGACCCUCAUACUAACUGUGCAAGACAGUGGAGGAGAGAUUCUGCACGUGAUCCAGAUCCUGGGAAUACGAGCUGUGAUAUUCCUUGUGGCUGUGGUUAUCACUAUCGCUGGAGUCUGUGUCUGGGAGGGACAAACAGUGAAAGGAAGUCGACAGACUGUUUGAAGCUUUGUACAGCAACAAUCUGCACAAACAGCAAUUUCCAAGCGGACUCCCAUCAGCAGACAGAGUGUAAUGAAACAUCAGCAUGCCUGCUUCUUAAUGUCCGGAGAGAAACCUGGAACGAGAGAUUCUCCUUCUUCUCCUCAGCAAGCUGAAACUUUUCCUUAUACCUGGUGCUCCCUAGUCCUGGUGUGUGGACUCAUCAUAACCACGGCAUUGUCUGGCUGUGUGCAGCCAACAUGGUCGAAUAGGAAUCAACAGAAAUGUGACGUUGCUAAACUCUGUUCUCUGAUUGGAAUGUGCUUUCUGAAUGCUGCACCUUUUUCAUGCUGUGAUUGAUUGUAAGAAGCAUUUGGGUUAUGAAUAAAAUUACA